This 94-nucleotide non-coding RNA is filed under the name Lachnospiraceae bacterium. RNAcentral describes it as "TPP sequence". It matches the Rfam family "TPP riboswitch aptamer (THI element)". From Rfam's summary of the family: Vitamin B(1) in its active form thiamin pyrophosphate (TPP) is an essential coenzyme that is synthesised by coupling of pyrimidine and thiazole moieties in bacteria. Lineage: Bacteria; Bacillati; Bacillota; Clostridia; Lachnospirales; Lachnospiraceae. The record is from Rfam by way of RNAcentral.
ACGAAGAUCCCGGGGUGCCUGACACAGGCUGAGAUUAAACCCGUUUAACCUGAUCUGCAUAAUGGCAGCGUAGGUAGUGAGUUCGUUUCGAAAG